GUUGACCUCGGAUCAGGUAGGAGUUACCCGCUGAACU
This 37-nucleotide ribosomal RNA is filed under the name Talaromyces sp. MCK4. RNAcentral describes it as "partial 28S ribosomal RNA". The record is from RNAcentral. Lineage: Eukaryota; Fungi; Ascomycota; Eurotiomycetes; Eurotiales; Trichocomaceae.